Xylona heveae TC161 is the source of this 110-nucleotide non-coding RNA. The record is from Rfam. NCBI's taxonomy places the organism in Eukaryota, Fungi, Ascomycota, Xylonomycetes, Xylonales, Xylonaceae.
GGCUCAAUGGUCUAGUGGUAUGAUUGUCGCUUCGGGUUUGGCUGUUGCCACCUGGUUAUCCCAGAUAAUCCAAAUGUGACAGGCCCCGGGUUCGAAUCCCGGUUGAGCCC